Molecule: long non-coding RNA, 583 nt
Organism: Mastomys coucha (southern multimammate mouse)
Lineage: Eukaryota; Metazoa; Chordata; Mammalia; Rodentia; Muridae
Exons: 3
Source: RefSeq, a predicted model, not a curated record
CAGGGGUAGCUGCAGGAGCCCAGGUGAACUGUCAAACAAGGGUGACACAGAGAAAGAAAUGCAGAAACAACAUCCAUACUGGGAAAUAACCUGGCUUCCCCUUAGUCACGAAUCAGCUCACAGCACUAUGUGCAAACCACUGACUUCCCUAAGAGUUUCAAGGUUUGUACUCAAAUCCUCUGGGUACAGAAGGAAAACCAUGACAGGGCUCCCUCUGCCUCACUUCAUCACACAUCUAACUUCCAGAGGGAAAGGAAGAACGUGGUGUGAAACCUACCAUUUCCUACACUGGUGUCUCCUCAGAAGGAAUACUGAUCUGCACCCUGGUGAGAACACGACUGUGAUUCUCUACUUUCAAAAGGUUCGCCACGUGACAUUCUGACGUGACAUUUAUCUGCAUGUUUGCCUUCCUAACUACAGAAGGAUUGACUUGUAACAGGAGUUCUCCUUUGACAGACUGGUUAUGGGCCCUCUUGAUUUGUACAAGGAGCCCUUGGGAUGAUAGGGGCCAUCCUGAGACCCUAUGACCCACUUUGGAGCAAAUCCACCCAUUGCCUACAGAAUACCAAAUUAUGUACAUGCA